This 295-nucleotide ribosomal RNA is filed under the name uncultured bacterium. Its description in RNAcentral is "partial 16S ribosomal RNA". It matches the Rfam family "Bacterial small subunit ribosomal RNA", at positions 130 to 428 of the family's 1533-position model. The record is from RNAcentral.
CCAAUCGAGGGGGAUAACUACUGGAAACGGUAGCUAAUACCGCAUACGCCCUACGGGGGAAAGCAGGGGACCUUCGGGCCUUGCGCGAUUGGAUGAACCCAGGUGGGAUUAGCUAGUUGGUGAGGUAAUGGCUCACCAAGGCGACGAUCCCUAGCUGGUCUGAGAGGAUGAUCAGCCACACUGGAACUGAGACACGGUCCAGACUCCUACGGGAGGCAGCAGUGGGGAAUAUUGCACAAUGGGGGAAACCCUGAUGCAGCCAUGCCGCGUGUGUGAAGAAGGCUUCGGGUUGUAA